AGUGGUUGGCCACAUACGAGACCAUCCAGUCUGCAGCCCGUUGGUCUCUCUGUAGACAUGCUUAGCCUGGAAGGCCACCCCACCAUAGACUAUGGCUCGGCUAUCUUGGAUCAAAGGGUGACACUUGCCCCCAUUGCCAACAAUCCACCGAACCCAUCCAAUGACCGUAGCCGAAUCCCCCUUAAGCAGUGCCACACUAGCCUGCAUACACAACGAGCAUAACCUAG
Molecule: long non-coding RNA, 227 nt
Filed under: Phoenix dactylifera (date palm)
Lineage: Eukaryota; Viridiplantae; Streptophyta; Magnoliopsida; Arecales; Arecaceae
Description: long non-coding RNA (PDAC_LNC023125)
Source: RNAcentral